Molecule: long non-coding RNA, 1273 nt
Filed under: Nicotiana benthamiana
Lineage: Eukaryota; Viridiplantae; Streptophyta; Magnoliopsida; Solanales; Solanaceae
Description: long non-coding RNA (NBEN_LNC024611)
Source: RNAcentral
UCAGGCCGCUCCUUAUAAACAAGAAGUAAGUAAAAUUAAUUACCUUGAUGGAUAGCUUUAUAAUAAAAUAUCUUAUAUUUUAUUAUUUAAGAACUCAAAAUUUUAAUAAGAGGGAAUUGUCACAAAAACUAUUUUUAAUAACACAAAGAUCGAAUCUUUUAUAGUAUGUGAAUUUAGUUUAACUAUCUAUAUGCUUAGCCCUAAAUUAAUUUACAUCACAUGUAAUAAAUAAUUCAAAAUUAUAUAAUGAGCAAGCACAUGGCAUAAAACAAAAAUUCAACAUCAUCUAACAUAUUUAUCUUACUUAUCACAUAGAAAGAAUUCAUGCUAGAAUAUUAUUAUUAAUUAACAUCUCAUUAACUAAUAAUAAUUAAAAUAACAAUAGAAUCAUGUAACUUAUUAUAGAUUCCCGAUGUAUCUAAUACAAAAUUUCAAAAUCAAAUUAUGAACGAUCUCAAUAGUUACAUGAAUGCAUAAUUUAUCCACAAUAAAAUAAUAUCAACAUUCAAACGAUUUGACUAUUGCACAAGGUACAUCUAUGUCCACCUGGCUUAUUUAACUAUCCCAUGACCAAAUACAGCCUAUUCAAUAGAAUUUAAUCAACUAAACUUCUUACGAAAUGAUUAUACACUACAUGAACAACCACAUAUUCAAUAUUUCCAUAGUUCCACAUGCUCAAGCUGUUGGAUUGCUUUAAGGGUGUUCGUAACACGUAGCGGAAGACAAUAACAAUCUAAGGUAGAUUUUCUCAUGUUUAAAAUUUAUUUACGUGUCAAAAAUAGGAUUUAAGACGUACCUGGUGAAGAGAGUUUCUUUACCGAAAUUUCUUCGAUAGUGCGAAGUCUCUGUGCGUAUUCACACCGAGACCGAUCCUUGCUAUCAACCUUUUGAUAAAUGAAACCCCCGAACAAAUUGAACGGAAAUAUUAUGCUAAAGUUUUUCUCAAAAACUGUAGCUAAAACGUGAAAGACCAAGAAAACUAAUUUUCUUGUCAAGAAUUUUUUUUCUUUAUCUCACGAUUUUUUUUUUCUUCUUUCUGUAUCUCUCUCUCAAUUUUCUUCUUGUCAAUCAUCUUAAUGAUAUGUGUAUAUAUAUACACAUAUUGAGUCAAAAAAGGAAGGAAAGUAGUUGGAGAUUCUACCAACUUAAAUACAAUUCUAUUUAGAAUUGUAUAGCCAACACUAUUGAUUUGGCCAACAAUUCCAUUUUGAAUGGAAUUCCAAUUCCAUGGAAUUCUUGGCCGAUUUUAUUUCAUUCUGUCCUAUUUUUUUUU